GUGGGGAAUCUUGCACAAUGGGCGAAAGCCUGAUGCAGCCAUGCCGCGUGAAUGAUGAAGGCCUUAGGGUUGUAAAAUUCUUUCGUCAGGGAUGAUAGUGACCGUACCUGAAGAAGAAGCCCCGGCUAACUUCGUGCCAGCAGCCGCGGUAAUACGAAGGGGGCUAGCGUUGUUCGGAAUUACUGGGCGUAAAGCGCACGUAGGCGGACUUUUAAGUCAGGUGUGAAAUCCCGGGGCUCAACCUCGGAACUGUAUUUGAAACUGGAAGUCUUGAGAUCAGGAGAGGUUAGCGGAAUACCGAGUGUAGAGGUGAAAUUCGUAGAUAAUCGGUGGAACACCAGUGGCGAAGGCGGCUAACUGGACUGAUACUGACGCUGAGGUGCGAAAGUGUGGGGAGCAAACAGGAUUAGAUACCCUUGUAGUCC
Molecule: ribosomal RNA, 425 nt
Filed under: uncultured bacterium
Lineage: Bacteria
Description: partial 16S ribosomal RNA
Rfam family: Bacterial small subunit ribosomal RNA
Source: RNAcentral